GCAGCUAUAAGGAUCUAUCCAAUCAGAUUACUAUACUACUAAGAUUUAUAAUUAAUUAUUUAGAUCUAAUGUAAAUAAUUAAAAUUAGAUUAUAUAUAAAAAAUUUAUAUCAUAAGAUAUUUUGCUCUGAUACCAUCUGAAAUCCUAUUUUCUCCUAUGACCGAAAGUCCUUUUAAUAGUUGCAAUUUGUUGCAGGGUCUGC
This 202-nucleotide long non-coding RNA is filed under the name Elaeis guineensis (African oil palm). Its description in RNAcentral is "long non-coding RNA (EGUI_LNC042467)". The record is from RNAcentral. Lineage: Eukaryota; Viridiplantae; Streptophyta; Magnoliopsida; Arecales; Arecaceae.